This 253-nucleotide ribosomal RNA is filed under the name uncultured bacterium. RNAcentral describes it as "partial 16S ribosomal RNA". It matches the Rfam family "Bacterial small subunit ribosomal RNA", at positions 524 to 776 of the family's 1533-position model. The record is from RNAcentral.
UACGGGGGGGGCAAGCGUUGUUCGGAAUUACUGGGCGUAAAGGGCCAGUAGGCGGCCAACUAAGUCCGACGUGAAAUCCCAAGGCUUAACCUUGGAACUGCGUCGGAUACUGGAUGGCUUGAAUUCGGGAGAGGGAUGCAGAAUUCCAGGUGUAGCGGUGAAAUGCGUAGAUAUCGGAAGGAACACCAGUGGCGAAAGCGGCUUCCUGGUCCAGCACCGACGUUCAGGCACGAAAGCGUGGGGAGCAAACAGG